UACGUAGGGUGCGAGCGUUAAUCGGAAUUACUGGGCGUAAAGCGUGCGCAGGCGGUGAUGUAAGACCGAUGUGAAAUCCCCGGGCUUAACCUGGGAACUGCAUUUGUGACUGCAUCGCUGGAGUACGGCAGAGGGGGAUGGAAUUCCGCGUGUAGCAGUGAAAUGCGUAGAUAUGCGGAGGAACACCGAUGGCGAAGGCAAUCCCCUGGGCCUGUACUGACGCUCAUGCACGAAAGCGUGGGGAGCAAACAGG
This 253-nucleotide ribosomal RNA is filed under the name uncultured bacterium. RNAcentral's name for it is "partial 16S ribosomal RNA". It matches the Rfam family "Bacterial small subunit ribosomal RNA", at positions 524 to 776 of the family's 1533-position model. The record is from RNAcentral.